CGGAGGGUGCGAGCGUUGUCCGGAAUCACUGGGCGUAAAGGGCGCGUAGGCGGCCGAGCAAGGUCGCGGUGAAAGCCCGGGGCUCAACCCCGGGUCGGCCGUGGCAACUACUCGGCUCGAGCACUGUAGGGGCGGGUGGAAUUCCGGGUGUAGCGGUGGAAUGCGUAGAGAUCCGGAAGAACACCGGUGGCGAAGGCGGCCCGCUGGGCAGGAAGGCUCGCAAGAGCCGGCUGACGCUGAGGCGCGACAGCGUGGGGAGCAAACAGGAUUAGAUACCCUGGUAGUCCACGCCGUAAACGAUGGGCACUAGGUGCCGUGGGGGAGCGACCCCCCGGGUGCCGGCGCUAACGCAUUAAGUGCCCCGCCUGGGGAGUACGGCCGCAAGGCCG
Molecule: ribosomal RNA, 389 nt
Filed under: uncultured organism
Description: bacterial SSU rRNA
Rfam family: Bacterial small subunit ribosomal RNA
Source: RNAcentral